UGAAUUUUUUAAGGCCGCGGUAUUUUAACUGUGCAAAGGUAGCAUAAUAAUUAGUUUUUUAAUUGAAAACUUGAAUGAAAGGUUGGACAAAGAAAAAGCUGUCUUUAAUAUUUUUAUUGAACUUUACCUUUAAGUGAAAAGGCUUAAAUAAAUUUAAGGGACGAUAAGACCCUAUAAAUCUUUACAUUUUACUAAACUUUAAAACUAGAAAUAAAUUUAUUUAAAAGCUUAAGAAAUAAUGUUUUAUUGGGGUAAUAAAGAUAUAAUAUUUAUAUAAACUGUCUUUUUUUUAAAAACAAAUAUAUUUGUGUAUAAAGAUCCUUCUUAAAGAUUAAAAGUUUAAGUUACUUUAGGGAUAACAGCGUAAUUUUUUUUGAGAGUUCCUAUCGAAAAAAAAGUUUGCGACCUCGAUGUUGAAUUAAAAUUUCUUCGUGGUGUAGAAGCUAUAUAAAGAAAGUCUGUUCGACUUUUAAAAUUUUACAUGAUUUGAGUUCAAACCGGCGAAACCCGGGUUGGGUUUCUAUCUA
RNAcentral lists this ribosomal RNA (527 nucleotides) under Munidopsis guochuani. Its description in RNAcentral is "partial large subunit ribosomal RNA". It matches the Rfam family "Bacterial large subunit ribosomal RNA", at positions 1913 to 2644 of the family's 2925-position model. Lineage: Eukaryota; Metazoa; Arthropoda; Malacostraca; Decapoda; Munidopsidae. The record is from RNAcentral.